This 69-nucleotide transfer RNA is filed under the name Bos taurus (domestic cattle). It matches the Rfam family "tRNA". From Rfam's summary of the family: Transfer RNA (tRNA) molecules are approximately 80 nucleotides in length. Their secondary structure includes four short double-helical elements and three loops (D, anti-codon, and T loops). The record is from Rfam by way of RNAcentral. RNAcentral also lists the same sequence under 5 other names. Lineage: Eukaryota; Metazoa; Chordata; Mammalia; Artiodactyla; Bovidae.
CCUGGUGGCUCAGAUGGUAAAGCUUCUGCCUGAAAUGCAGGAGACCUGGGUUCGAUUCCUGGGUCAGGA